GCACGUAGUUAGCCGGGGCUUUCUGGUCAGGAUACCGUCAAGGGUGGAGCAGUUACUCUCCAACUUGUUCUUCUCUGACAACAGAGUUUUACGAUCCGAAAACCUUCUUCACUCACGCGGCGUUGCUCCGUCAGACUUUCGUCCGAUUGCGGAAGAUUCCAUA
Molecule: ribosomal RNA, 163 nt
Filed under: uncultured bacterium
Lineage: Bacteria
Description: partial 16S ribosomal RNA
Source: RNAcentral